RNAcentral lists this ribosomal RNA (440 nucleotides) under uncultured bacterium. RNAcentral's name for it is "partial 16S ribosomal RNA". It matches the Rfam family "Bacterial small subunit ribosomal RNA", at positions 338 to 795 of the family's 1533-position model. The record is from RNAcentral.
CCUACGGGAGGCAGCAGUGGGGGAUAUUGCGCAAUGGGGGAAACCCUGAUGCAGCGACGCCGCGUGAGGGAAGACGGUUUUCGGAUUGUAAACCUCUGUCAUCUGUGAAGAUAAUGACGGUAGCAGAAGAGGAAGCUCCGGCUAACUACGUGCCAGCAGCCGCGGUAAUACGUAGGGAGCGAGCGUUAUCCGGAUUUACUGGGUGUAAAGGGGGCGGAGGCGGCGAGGCAAGUCAGUAGGGAAAUCCAUGGGCUUAACCCAGGAACUGCUAUUGAAACUGUGUAGCUUGAGUGCAGUAGAGGUAGGCGGAAUUCCUGGUGUAGCGGUGAAAUGCGUAGAGAUCGGGAGGAACACCAGUGGCGAAGGCGGCCUACUGGGCUUUAACUGACGCUGAGGCACGAAAGCGUGGGUAGCAAACAGGAUUAGAUACCCUAGUAGUC